AGAGUUUGAUCAUGGCUCAGGAUGAACGCUAGCGGCAGGCUUAAUACAUGCAAGUCGUGGGGCAGCGCGGGUAGCAAUACCUGGCGGCGACCGGCAAACGGGUGCGGAACACGUACGCAACCUUCCUUUAAGCGGGGAAUAGCCCAGGGAAACUUGGAUUAAUACCCCAUAAGACAGUGGAGUGGCAUCACUCAGCUGUUAAAGCUCCGGCACUUAAAGAUGGGCGUGCGGCUGAUUAGGUAGUUGGCGGGGUAACGGCCCACCAAGCCGACGAUCAGUAACUGGUGUGAGAGCACGACCAGUCACACGGGCACUGAGACACGGGCCCGACUCCUACGGGAGGCAGCAGUAAGGAAUAUUGGUCAAUGGACGCAAGUCUGAACCAGCCAUGCCGCGUGGAGGAUGAAGGCCCUCUGGGUUGUAAACUUCUUUUAUUGGGGAAGAAACCUGACUUUUCUAAGGCAGUUGACGGUACCCGAUGAAUAAGCACCGGCUAACUCCGUGCCAGCAGCCGCGGUAAUACGGAGGGUGCAAGCGUUAUCCGGAUUCACUGGGUUUAAAGGGUGCGUAGGUGGGCAGGUAAGUCAGUGGUGAAAUCUCUGGGCUUAACCCAGAAACUGCCGUUGAUACUAUCUGUCUUGAAUAUAGUGGAGGUGAGCGGAAUAUGUCAUGUAGCGGUGAAAUGCUUAGAUAUGACAUAGAACAUCGAUUGCGAAGGCAGCUCGCUACACUAUCAUUGACACUGAGGCACGAAAGCGUGGGGAUCAAACAGGAUUAGAUACCCUGGUAGUCCACGCCCUAAACGAUGGAUACUCGACAUCAGCGAUACACUGUUGGUGUCUGAGCGAAAGCAUUAAGUAUCCCACCUGGGAAGUACGACCGCAAGGUUGAAACUCAAAGGAAUUGACGGGGUCCGCACAAGCGGUGGAGCAUGGUGGUUUAAUUCGAUGAUACGCCGAAGGAACCUUA
This 969-nucleotide ribosomal RNA is filed under the name uncultured bacterium. RNAcentral's name for it is "bacterial SSU rRNA". It matches the Rfam family "Bacterial small subunit ribosomal RNA", at positions 8 to 973 of the family's 1533-position model. The record is from RNAcentral.